UCUUUUGCUGCUAUUCUAGUAAGAUGGUUCUUUCUGGGGGAUCCCCUCAUACUUUGCUAGCAGUAUUACAGCCUGGGGUUCAGCAGACCCUUUGCUCGCGGCCGUCCGGGUGAGGAAGACAGCGUCAGUAAGCGACGCUGCCGAAGAGAGCUCAAUAAGUAAGCCGCCUAUACCCUGGGGCCUGAAUAGAUUCUUUAAGCAGUUAGCAGGACAGAUUUAGCUGACUGGAAAGGGGGCAAUUAGGGCAUCAGAAUUAAUUUGAGUUAGUUCUACUCCAUUUGGCAUCACACAACAUCCACGACAUGAGCGGGGGACGGCCAUGCUCAGAGUUUGAUCAUGGCUCAGAUUGAACGCUGGCGGCAUGCCUUACACAUGCAAGUCGAACGGCAGCACGGAGCUUGCUCUGGUGGCGAGUGGCGAACGGGUGAGUAAUAUAUCGGAACGUACCCAAGAGUGGGGGAUAACGUAGCGAAAGUUACGCUAAUACCGCAUACGAUCUAAGGAUGAAAGCAGGGGACCGCAAGGCCUUGUGCUCCUGGAGCGGCCGAUAUCUGAUUAGCUAGUUGGUGGGGUAAAGGCCCACCAAGGCAUCGAUCAGUAGCUGGUCUGAGAGGACGACCAGCCACACUGGAACUGAGACACGGUCCAGACUCCUACGGGAGGCAGCAGUGGGGAAUUUUGGACAAUGGGGGCAACCCUGUUCCAGCAAUGCCGCGUGAGUGAAGAAGGCCUUCGGGUUGUUGGCUCUUUUGUCAGGGAAGAAAAGGGUCUGGCUAAUAUCCGGGCCUCAUGACGGUACCGAAGAAUAGCACGCACUCAAAACAU
This 825-nucleotide ribosomal RNA is filed under the name Rhizobium sp. sk081023. RNAcentral's name for it is "bacterial SSU rRNA". The stretch from base 319 to 825 matches the Rfam family "Bacterial small subunit ribosomal RNA", at positions 1 to 506 of the family's 1533-position model. Lineage: Bacteria; Pseudomonadati; Pseudomonadota; Alphaproteobacteria; Hyphomicrobiales; Rhizobiaceae. The record is from RNAcentral.